GGCGACAUGGCCAAGUGGUAAGGCGGGGGAUUGCAAAUCCUUUAUCCCCAGUGGGUGUCGCCU
RNAcentral lists this transfer RNA (63 nucleotides) under Zostera marina. It matches the Rfam family "tRNA". Rfam says of the family: Transfer RNA (tRNA) molecules are approximately 80 nucleotides in length. The record is from Rfam by way of RNAcentral. Lineage: Eukaryota; Viridiplantae; Streptophyta; Magnoliopsida; Alismatales; Zosteraceae. RNAcentral also lists the same sequence under 1 other name.